AAAGAAGGAUGUUUUGUUUAGACAUAAAAGUACCUUAAGGCCUUUUUUUAGUACGAGCGGGUAAAUAU
RNAcentral lists this transfer RNA (68 nucleotides) under Gammarus sp. 4 ZH-2007. RNAcentral describes it as "tRNA-Val". The record is from RNAcentral. Lineage: Eukaryota; Metazoa; Arthropoda; Malacostraca; Amphipoda; Gammaridae.